Molecule: ribosomal RNA, 494 nt
Filed under: uncultured bacterium
Lineage: Bacteria
Description: partial 16S ribosomal RNA
Rfam family: Bacterial small subunit ribosomal RNA
Source: RNAcentral
GACGAACGCUGGCGGCGUGCUUAACACAUGCAAGUCGAACGGUGAAGCGCCUUCCUUUUUGGUGGGUGUGGAUGAGUGGCGAACGGGUGAGUAACACGUGAGUAACCUGCCCCCUUCUUCUGGAUAACCGCAUGAAAGUGUGGCUAAUACGGGAUAUUCUGGGUCUGUCGCAUGAUGGGUCUGGGAAAGAUAUUGUUUCGGUGGGGGAUGGGCUCGCGGCCUAUCAGCUUGUUGGUGGGGUGAUGGCCUACCAAGGCGGUGACGGGUAGCCGGCCUGAGAGGGUGGCCCGUCACACUGGGACUGAGACACGGCCCAGACUCCUACGGGAGGCAGCAGUGGGGAAUAUUGCACAAUGGGCGCAAGCCUGAUGCAGCGACGCCGCGUGAGGGAUGGAGGCCUUCGGGUUGUGAACCUCUUUCGCCAGUGAAGCAGGCCUGCCUCGUUUGUGGGUGGGUUGACGGUAGCUGGAUAAGAAGCGCCGGCUAACUACGUG